AGUGAACGCUGGCGGUAGGCCUAACACAUGCAAGUCGAACGGCAGCACAGAGGAGCUUGCUCCUUGGGUGGCGAGUGGCGGACGGGUGAGGAAUACAUCGGAAUCUACUCUGUCGUGGGGGAUAACGUAGGGAAACUUACGCUAAUACCGCAUACGACCUACGGGUGAAAGCAGGGGACCUUCGGGCCUUGCGCGAUUGAAUGAGCCGAUGUCGGAUUAGCUAGUUGGCGGGGUAAAGGCCCACCAAGGCGACGAGCCGUAGCUGGUCUGAGAGGAUGAUCAGCCACACUGGAACUGAGACACGGUUCAGACUCCUACGGGAGGCAGCAGUGGGGAAUAUUGGACAAUGGGCGCAAGCCUGAUCCAGCCAUGCCGCGUGGGUGAAGAAGGCCUUCGGGUUGUAAAGCCCUUUUGUUGGGAAAGAAAAGCAGUCGGUUAAUACCCGAUUGUUCUGACGGUACCCAAAGAAUAAGCACCGGCUAACUUCGUGCCAGCCGCCGCAGUAA
This 506-nucleotide ribosomal RNA is filed under the name uncultured bacterium. RNAcentral's name for it is "partial 16S ribosomal RNA". It matches the Rfam family "Bacterial small subunit ribosomal RNA", at positions 29 to 523 of the family's 1533-position model. The record is from RNAcentral.